CUGAAAUUGAGGUGGAUUGGUGAGUUGAUUCAAGAUUUCUAAGAAAAGGAAAAUCUUAGGUGUGAGAGCUGGUGCCUUGGAGUUGGGAAAAUUCCAGCAAAAAUCAGGAAGUGUGCACUUGAAUUGGUAGCAAAUAAGUGUUCCACUAUUUUAAGGUGAGUAGGGGGUGUCCAUUUCAAAAUAAUCUCAUAAUUUGGUAUGUAGGUAUAUAUGUCUUUAUGAGCAUGAAAUGAUUUAUUUUAAAUGCAACUUGUGGAAAUCAUGAGCUGGUAGUGAUCCUAGGAGUUGUGAAUGCCAAGUGUUUGAAAUGGGUUUGACUAUACAUAUAUAUAUAUGAGUUAUGUACGUAAAGGAUUUAAAAAUCGAGAAGCAAGCUUUUCAAUGUAUUUACGUCAAAAACGUGCCUUGUGGAUUGUGUGAAGUGCAUUCAUGGAUAAAUUCUUAUUCACCAUGCGGAUUAGGCAUUUACCUUAUG
Theobroma umbraticum is the source of this 475-nucleotide non-coding RNA. The record is from RefSeq and is a predicted model, not a curated record. Lineage: Eukaryota; Viridiplantae; Streptophyta; Magnoliopsida; Malvales; Malvaceae.